This 425-nucleotide ribosomal RNA is filed under the name uncultured Clostridium sp. RNAcentral describes it as "bacterial SSU rRNA". It matches the Rfam family "Bacterial small subunit ribosomal RNA", at positions 355 to 794 of the family's 1533-position model. The record is from RNAcentral. Lineage: Bacteria; Bacillati; Bacillota; Clostridia; Eubacteriales; Clostridiaceae.
UGGGGGAUAUUGCGCAAUGGGGGCAACCCUGACGCAGCAACGCCGCGUGAAGGAAGAAGGUCUUCGGAUUGUAAACUUUUGUCUUGUGGGACGAAACGAAUGACGGUACCACAGGAGGAAGCCACGGCUAACUACGUGCCAGCAGCCGCGGUAAUACGUAGGUGGCAAGCGUUGUCCGGAAUUACUGGGUGUAAAGGGUGCGUAGGCGGGGAUGCAAGUCAGAUGUGAAAUCUAUCGGCUUAACUGGUAAACUGCAUUUGAAACUGCAUUUCUUGAGUGGUGGAGAGGUAAGCGGAAUUCCUAGUGUAGCGGUGAAAUGCGUAGAUAUUAGGAGGAACACCAGUGGCGAAGGCGGCUUACUGGACACUAACUGACGCUGAGGCACGAAAGCAUGGGGAGCAAACAGGAUUAGAUACCCUGGUAGU